CAGGCGUUGAUGGCCGUAACGGA
RNAcentral lists this non-coding RNA (23 nucleotides) under Arabidopsis thaliana (thale cress). The record is from RNAcentral. Lineage: Eukaryota; Viridiplantae; Streptophyta; Magnoliopsida; Brassicales; Brassicaceae.